Molecule: ribosomal RNA, 506 nt
Filed under: uncultured bacterium
Lineage: Bacteria
Description: partial 16S ribosomal RNA
Rfam family: Bacterial small subunit ribosomal RNA
Source: RNAcentral
GAUGGACGCUAGCUACAGGCUUAACACAUGCAAGUCGAGGGGUAACGAGAGGGAAGCUUGCUUUCCUUGUCGACGACCGGCGCACGGGUGAGUAACGCGUAUCCAACCUGCCCCCAACUAGGGAAUAACCUUGCGAAAGUAAGACUAAUACCCUAUAAUUUCCUCAGAUGCCAUCUGACGAGGAAUAAAGAUUUAUCGGUUGUGGAUGGGGAUGCGUCUGAUUAGCUUGUUGGCGGGGUAACGGCCCACCAAGGCAACGAUCAGUAGGGGUUCUGAGAGGAAGGUCCCCCACAUUGGAACUGAGACACGGUCCAAACUCCUACGGGAGGCAGCAGUGAGGAAUAUUGGUCAAUGGGCGGAAGCCUGAACCAGCCAAGUAGCGUGCAGGAUGACGGCCCUAUGGGUUGUAAACAGCUUUUAUACAGGAAUAAAGUUAGCCACGUGUGGUUAUUUGUAGGUACUGUAUGAAUAAGGACCGGCUAAUUCCGUGCCAGCCGCCGCAGUAA